UACCCCACACUGGUGGUGACAGGGUUAAGGGGAGCUGGUGAUACCAAUUAGCCCAUUCUCUGGCACCUGGUGGGGAGACAGGUAAUAAAGAAUUAAACCCAACUGGGCAGUUUCUGUAAAGGAAGGCAUGCAGGGCAAGUGGCAGAGGAGACUUAAGAGAGAAAUAGCGGGGUUUUUCCUCUCUUUAGGAAAGGAAUGAAAGAGGGACUUGUGGGAAGGAACUUGUACCUGGUACUGUUCCUGAAGGGAGAGGGCAGCUGGGGAGAAGCAGAAUCCUAAAGUAGGCCUGGAAAAGAGAAGCUACAGGGAUGAAGACUUGAGAGUCAUUGUCCUAGGAGGAGCUGGGCCUCAUGGAAAAAACCCUCAGAAGCAGCCCUCUGUAACAAAGCGGGGAAGAGCAAGGAACCUGUGGAGAACUGAGUCUAGGCAGGGUGGAAGAGUUUUUAUUCUGCUGCGUUUGGACAUCGUUACUGUGGAAGAAGUGGAACCCUUCAUAUGACCUGGUUGAAGGACCAAGUUACUGCAUCUACCACUGAUGUCCAGAGGAGGAAGGCGCUGCCUCUCUGGAGACGCAGGUGGGGGACACAACGCUUAAGGAGCCAGGGCUGCGAUUAUAAGCAAUCUGGCUGGAAGGCUGAGUCAUGAGAAGGUGUGAACCUCUGCAGGCUCAGGGCAGUCAAUUGGGAGCAAAAUCAGAGGCUGCUGCGCUAUGCCUGGCCACGAGGGAGCACACCAGCUGGCAACGGAGCAGAAUGUGACAUUUAUUCAUGGGAACCUUUAAAUAACACUGUGCUGGAGGCACUGGUGAGAUGGUGGACUAUAGGAGACAAUGCUUGAAAUUGACAGGCGUGUAAUAAAUGGACUUCACUUUUUAGGUUGGUUCUGGAGUACACGGAAGAAUUUAAACAUCUGUUCAGGGAAAACAACUCCAGGGGCAUGAAGCCUGUUUUAAAGACCAGCUGCCUAAAACAAACUCUUUAAGGAAUCACCAAACAUUAAAUUACUUGUGUUAAGCAAACACUCAACACGGGAAGAGGAAUCAUGGAUAAGAUGCUAGCUUGGGAUGUCAGAGUCCUGGCUUCAAUUCCCAGUUCUGCCACAGCUUCCCUUUGUUACUUCGUCCUCUGUGUCUCUCAGUUCCCCCUCUGUAAAAUGGGGAUGCAGCACCGCUAGGAGUAGAGAUACUACAGUAAGGGGGCCAUAUAAGUACUCUAAGAUCAAACCUCACUUCAACACUGCCAGAGAGUCCUAGCCACAUUCUUUAUUAGGAAACUGCUUUGGACUGUAAUGCCUAUAGGGCACAUGUGUAUACAGAGGAAGGGUCCAGUCCUGCUGUGGGCCCACUCACCUUAGUUAAGUUAGUCACAUGCUUUGGGUCCCUCCAAGAUCCAGAGCGUAAUCUGUGCACACUUUGUAUAGCUCUGUGUAUUGCUCUAAGGCCAGGUCUACACCUAAAAGUUAGGUCGACCCAGUUACAUUGCCAUGUAUUUACGCCAAUGCAGCAUCGGUGUAAACCCUACGUUGCCUACGUUGACUGUGGCUGGCUUUCAGAAGCCAUCCCACAAUGCACUGCCCUGACAGUUCAAUCAGCACAAAUGCUCCUGCGGAGGACAUGCACUGUUAACACAAAGAGCAAACCUUAGACGUGCACAAGCACUGUAACUGUAUGUCAGUGUAAGUUAGACCAACUUAAUUUUGUCACGUAGACAGGCCCUCAGUAACAAACCGUUAGACUAGACCAGUGCUACUCAAAGUGGUGGUCCGUGGACCGGUGCUGGUCUGCGAGCCAUUGGCUGCCGGUCUGCGUGCACAUUGGAAAAAAAAUUGCUGGUCCCCCACAUCUGAUAGCUUGAGAAGCACUGGGCUAGACUGUUUAAAAUGUGGUGUUUGACACAAUUUAAAAAAAAAAAUAAAGGCUGAGCUGAAACAAGAUAAGGAAGGCAGACUUUCAGGGAAACUAUUAGUGAAAAUCAGAUCAGUCUAACUCAUUAACUGCUGCAUUGAUUUCAAUAGACUGUGAGUGACCUCUCACUUCAGAGCUAGGAGGGGGAUGGUGGUUAAGACAGGAUUGCCACUUAUUUCUUCCCCUCUUCCCCCCCCCCCGCCAAGAAGGAAAGACAUUCAAUAAGCCCAGCAAGGUAUGUGAUGCCCACUGAGGGGGAACCAAGCCCAUUGCGUCAAUGAUUGUAUUUGA
Long non-coding RNA from Dermochelys coriacea (leatherback sea turtle), 2194 nucleotides. RefSeq lists it as uncharacterized. The record is from RefSeq and is a predicted model, not a curated record. NCBI's taxonomy places the organism in Eukaryota, Metazoa, Chordata, Testudines, Dermochelyidae. The transcript has 4 exons.